This 2752-nucleotide long non-coding RNA is filed under the name Homo sapiens (human). RNAcentral's name for it is "non-protein coding lnc-FZD4-1:3". The record is from RNAcentral. Lineage: Eukaryota; Metazoa; Chordata; Mammalia; Primates; Hominidae.
GUGACCAGUGGUCCUCCUUUCUGAAGGCUCUUGCUACAAAGGAAAGAUGAGGAUAUUCUAUUUCUUGAUCCCUCUCAGCUACUGGGAGCUGCUUUGUGCCUUGGAAGCCUCAAGCUGAAAUGGAUGUCAGCCUCAAGUUUAACUCCAAGAGGGUUCACCUUGUUUCUUUGAACAAAAUGUGCUGCCUGUUGCUUCCCUUUGCCAGGAGUGGUGUUCCCUUUUCCACAGGUCUGGACCACAGUGUCUCUAGCUCCCGCUCCUGGAUACUUGGUUACUGUGUGUUUCGGUAAAAAAGCAUCCACAACAUGAAUAUCCACUAAGCUGUAACAGGGCCUGCUGCAACUAUAGUAUUUCCUGAAAAAGUAUCAACUGCCACAAGGGCCACAAAUAAAGUCUGUGAACUUGAAAUAACCAUGGAGAAUGAAAUGUUCUGAUUCAGAUCAUCGGUGGGAUUUCACUGGGAAAUCUCCCACUGGGCAAGAGUAGAUGAUGGAGGAGGAGAAACAGUCACUAGAAAAAGGUGAUACUUUGUAUCAAGAAACAAUUAAAAAUUAGAUCACAUCCUGAAACAUUAAGCAUAUGCUCCUUUGUGAGGCUUGCCUGGCUGAACUUGAACUGGAUUGAGUGAAUAAUUUCUUAAAAACAAUCAAAAUCACAGAUUUAUUCUAUUUUAAAUACUUAUAUUUACUUAUAUUUCAUUCAGAAAUUAGUUAACAAAUAAUUUUUGAGUAUCCUGGGAACUGUUCUAAUCAUUAAACAUGCAAGUUUGAAGAAAGUAAGGAUGAAUCUGCCUGCGUGGGGCUCUCAAUCUAGCGAGAAGCAGAUAAGAAGACAAAUGUCAGGGAAGAUCACACAACCUUCAGGUAAUAUUUAAGCUGAGACCUCACUAGUUGCUAAGACUGGAUUUCAGAGGUCAGGUUUUUUUUUUUUUUUUAGUAGAGAUGGUGUUUCACCACAUUCGUCAGGCCGGUCUCAAACUCCUGACCUCAGGUGAUCCACCCGCCUCAGCCUCCGAAAACAUUUGGAUUACAGGCAUAAGCUACCGGGUCUGGCCACAACUUUCUAGUCUCAGUGUCAUCACAACCAGUUUCCAGCUUCUCUGACUUUUCUUAGCUACCCUGUUGUCCUAUCACUCCCUGCCUCUUCUCCAGGGUUCAACCUCUGGUCCACUUCCCUUCUCACACUUCAUAGGAAAAUACCACUCAAGAUCAUUGCCUCCCCUCUCACCACAACCUACAUCUCUAUCCAAAAACUCUUGAUAUUUUAGUUCAGACUGUUUUUAGCUAUUUUACUGCAGAGUUGGAAUUUAAGAGUCUGGAGCUUGCAAAUACAAACUUUCAUUGCACUUGAUUGCUGCCAAAAACAAAUUUGAAAGUGAUGUGAUGUGAAAAAGAAUGAAAUCAUGUCAUAGCCACAUGGAUGCAGCUGGUGGCUAUUAUCCUAAGUGAAAUAACUCACAAACAAAAUCCGAUACUGCAUGUUCUCAAUUAUAAGUGGAAGCUAAUCAAUGGGUACAUAUGCACAUAAAGAUGGAAAUAUUAGAUACUGGAGACUCCAAAAGGGAGGAGGAUGGAAGGAGGCCAGGGUUGAAAAACUACCUGUUGGAAGUUUUGGGGUACUAUGUUCACUAUUUGGGUGAUGAGUUCACUUGAAGCCCAAACAUCAGCAUUAUGCAAUAUACUCACGUAACAAACCUGCACAUGUACCCCAUGUAUUUAUAAUAAUAAAAAGUAAAUUAAAAUAUUUCUAUAUAAAAAUAAUUUAAAAAGAAAGUGAUGUGGUGGAAAGGGAUAGGAUUCCUUAUAAGCUAAUUAUAUAUAAAAUACUCUCCUGCUCUUUUUUAUUUAUAAUUCAAUCAUUCCCUAAUUAAUUUAUUCAUCUAAUCAUGAAACUUGUUUAGUCACCUACUUGGGGGCAGGUACUGAGGACGUGAUGACAAAUAAGGAAAUCUUUACCCUUUAGAACUCAUCAUGUAAUGAUCCAUACUGGUCACUUUGAGAUUCUGGAAAAAAAAACCAAAAACCUUUCUCCCACUCUAAUAGAUGAGUCACAUAAUGGGAAAACAAACAAAUGUAUCAUCUAUUAAAGUGGGAGAACUUGGUUUUGUAGUUUUAAAAGUAUUGUCAUAGAACCAACGAUACUGCUUGCAUCUAUACACCAUGAUUAGAGAGGAAGUGGAUGGAGAGUGUGUGUGUCUGAGAGAGAGAAUAUUUAGAAUGCCAAAAGCGGGCACUUCAAGGAAGGCUUUUUUUAUUUAAAAAAAAUUAGCUCAUUCUACAUACUUUAGAAAUUACCUUUGAGUAGCAAAUGUUAAGGAUAUAAAUACUUUGCACGUAUAUUCCUUGUUUAUAGUUAACCAUAUGUUAUUUUUUACCUGCAAAAUACUAAAACAUAUUCUACCUACGUGCAAUCUAAGUUUUGUAGCAGAGUCUUUUUACGGGGGCCAAACAAUUCUGGACUAAUUUUUAAAACCCUGAAAUGGCUCACUGUUUUGAGGUUAUUUUGAUGGAGUAUGAAUUUACUUCUUUGUCAUUUGGAGAAGGUGCACAGUAUUAUUAUGAACAGAGAAGAGCUGUAUGAAAACUGAUCUUCCAGCAUCUAUCAUCUCCUUUUAGUCUAAUGAGAUACUGCCAUUAUCUCCUGAUGAAAUAUUGUUCUAGAAAACCUUACCCCAUCAUACGAUUUCUGCAGAUCUUACAGGAGCAAUCUGAGCUCAAGCAAUAUUAAUUACUGUUUCAUUUGUCCAUUUGUC